GUCCCCUUCGUCUAGUGGCCUAGGACACUGCCCUUUCACGGCGGCAACAGGGGUUCGACCCCCCUAGGGGACGC
This 74-nucleotide transfer RNA is filed under the name Sodalis sp. Ffu. Its description in RNAcentral is "tRNA-Glu". It matches the Rfam family "tRNA". Rfam says of the family: Transfer RNA (tRNA) molecules are approximately 80 nucleotides in length. Their secondary structure includes four short double-helical elements and three loops (D, anti-codon, and T loops). The record is from RNAcentral. RNAcentral also lists the same sequence under 1 other name. Lineage: Bacteria; Pseudomonadati; Pseudomonadota; Gammaproteobacteria; Enterobacterales; Bruguierivoracaceae.